Molecule: long non-coding RNA, 929 nt
Filed under: Sipha flava (yellow sugarcane aphid)
Lineage: Eukaryota; Metazoa; Arthropoda; Insecta; Hemiptera; Aphididae
Description: uncharacterized LOC112679690, transcript variant X3
Source: RNAcentral
GCCGUAGCGCGACGCGAUCAACGUACAGAUGUCUUUGGAUCAUCGAUCGGUGUACACGCGUACAAUCUGUGUGUACACACUUUCGCGUACACACGCGUUAUUCUCUCGUCUUCCGGCACGAUAACUCCAAUGUGAAAAAAGUACACGAUUUUUUUUUUUUUUUUUAUUAUUAUGAUUUCGAUCGUUGAUGACGACGAUCCGCACGUAUACAGUUGGUGAAAUUUACGAGUCGCGCGCGCGCGCACCGCAUCAACGUUCAGUCGAACGGAAUGAAACGAUCGUAUGAAUAGUACCUAACCCCUGAACAUUGUAACUGGUUCGCAUCAUAUUAUAUCGAGUAGGACAGGAAGAAUGGAAGGGAGAGAGAGAGUGAAAAAGUGAAAUCACUUAUUUACUAAAUCUACUCGGCUAUGGCUGCAAGUAUACACGAAUGUCAUUUAUUCAGUAAAAAAAUCGAACAAAAAUUGUAUAUUUCUCUGACAACAAUUAACAAACCAUAUACUACGGAACAUUAUCCAAGAAAUUGGUAGCCAUUUGAACCGAUGGCCUAAAUAACGCGGGUAAAAAGUUCGGAAACGUACCGUGUUCGUUUGACCGUUAACGUUCACACGAUUGUUACGCGACGUAAUCGCUGUACGACGACGACGUUGCGGUGCGUACCGGACGACCGGAAGGGACGAAAGGGGUACCGAUAGUGACCUUGAGAUAAUGGCGAGGAGAAGUGAAGACGAGCGAGAGGCGGAGAGGUGAGCUUCUCUGGCGUACCGUUUACGUGCGCGCAAUAAGAAGGUGUAGCGAAAAAGACGGCAGCCUACGCCGCCGCGUUACCGCCGUGGUAACCGUCACGCGGCCGGCGCGUCGGUUUCACGCGGCAUGUGCGGUAAGCGCACGGCACACGGGCGAGAGCGCACAACUGGGCGGGCGCCGCG